RNAcentral lists this ribosomal RNA (648 nucleotides) under uncultured Bacteroidales bacterium. RNAcentral describes it as "bacterial SSU rRNA". It matches the Rfam family "Bacterial small subunit ribosomal RNA", at positions 77 to 719 of the family's 1533-position model. Lineage: Bacteria; Pseudomonadati; Bacteroidota; Bacteroidia; Bacteroidales. The record is from RNAcentral.
UGCUUGCAAACUGAAGAUGGCGACCGGCGCACGGGUGAGUAACACGUAUCCAACCUGCCGAUAACUCCGGGAUAGCCUUUCGAAAGAAAGAUUAAUACCGGAUGGCAUACGAAUAUCGCAUGAUAUUUUUAUUAAAGAAUUUCGGUUAUCGAUGGGGAUGCGUUCCAUUAGUUUGUUGGCGGGGUAACGGCCCACCAAGACUACGAUGGAUAGGGGUUCUGAGAGGAAGGUCUCCCACAUUGGAACUGAGACACGGUCCAAACUCCUACGGGAGGCAGCAGUGAGGAAUAUUGGUCAAUGGGCGAGAGCCUGAACCAGCCAAGUAGCGUGAAGGAUGAAGGCUCUAUGGGUCGUAAACUUCUUUUAUAUGGGAAUAAAGUUUUCCACGUGUGGAAUUUUGUAUGUACCAUAUGAAUAAGGAUCGGCUAACUCCGUGCCAGCAGCCGCGGUAAUACGGAGGAUCCGAGCGUUAUCCGGAUUUAUUGGGUUUAAAGGGAGCGUAGGUGGAUUGUUAAGUCAGUUGUGAAAGUUUGCGGCUCAACCGUAAAAUUGCAGUUGAAACUGGGAGUCUUGAGUACAGUAGAGGUGGGCGGAAUUCGUGGUGUAGCGGUGAAAUGCUUAGAUAUCACGAAGAACUCCGAUUGCGAA